UUUAGUCAAUAAAUAAAUAAAAAUGAAAUAUGAUAAAAUGAUAGCAGACUUAGCUAUAUUCACAGGUUCAUUUUAUGUGUCCUACAAGGCGAUGAGACGGUUUAUCGACAAAUUUCGGGAAACAGGCGAGAUUAUGGGGAGUGACUAACCAAAAAACAUCGACGAAACAGGAACAGUUUGGAGAAGUAGAAAAAUGGGAACAAAGGACGACCAACCAACGGAUUUCGAAACAAACGGAGCAGUCUGCGAGAAAAAAAGAAAAAUAAUCAAAACCAAGGAUACGUAUUCAGCGGCUGAGGGGGCGGUAUGUGGUAGAAAUAUGGCGGAGAAUACAUGACGUCUUCCAAUCCCGGAGCGAG
Long non-coding RNA from Amyelois transitella, 359 nucleotides. RefSeq lists it as uncharacterized. The record is from RefSeq and is a predicted model, not a curated record. NCBI's taxonomy places the organism in Eukaryota, Metazoa, Arthropoda, Insecta, Lepidoptera, Pyralidae. The transcript is spliced from 3 exons.